Molecule: small RNA, 262 nt
Filed under: Vigna angularis var. angularis
Lineage: Eukaryota; Viridiplantae; Streptophyta; Magnoliopsida; Fabales; Fabaceae
Description: Non-protein coding transcript
Source: RNAcentral
UUUCUUUCUCCUGCUCCCCUCCUCCCUCAUUUUUCACUAUUUCAUUUUAAGGGUCGAUUGCGGAUGACAGUGGUGUCGCAGUUGGAGAUGCGACUGUUGGGAACCGCACUUGGAGCUGCGAUUGGUUGGUGUUUGCCGCACUUGGGAGCUACGAUUAAGGGCCGCCGUAGUUGGAAGUCUGGAUGAGGGUAGUGCGGCUGUUGGGAACCGCACUUCGAGUUGCGGUUUAGUAUACUAACCUAAUAAAGUUGGUGCAGAAAGC